GACGAACGCUGGCGGCGUGCUUAACACAUGCAAGUCGAACGGAAAGGCGCUGCUUUUGUGGGGUGCUCGAGUGGCGAACGGGUGAGUAACACGUGAGUAACAUGCCCUUGACUGAGGGAUAACUUCAGGAAAAUGGGGCGAAUACCGGGGAGGAGCUCCUGCAGCAUGGGGGGGGUUGGAAAGAUUCGGCGGUGGGGGAUGGACUCGCGGCUUAUCAGCUAGAUGGUGGGGUAGGGGAGUACCAAGGCUAUGAAGGGUAGCCCGCCUUGGAGCGUGACCAGCCACCAUGCUCCUGCGAGACGCCGCAGACUGCAACGGUAGGCAGCAGUCGAGAGCAUUGCGCAGUGGGCGGGCGCGUGAUGUAGAAAUGCCGCGUUCGUGAUGACGUGUUUCGAGUUGUAAACCUCUUUCUACUGAGCCGUGGCGUUAGUGACGGUAAUGGGUAAGAAAGCCCCGGCUAACUACGUG
This 468-nucleotide ribosomal RNA is filed under the name uncultured bacterium. RNAcentral's name for it is "partial 16S ribosomal RNA". It matches the Rfam family "Bacterial small subunit ribosomal RNA", at positions 28 to 507 of the family's 1533-position model. The record is from RNAcentral.